This 497-nucleotide ribosomal RNA is filed under the name uncultured bacterium. RNAcentral describes it as "partial 16S ribosomal RNA". It matches the Rfam family "Bacterial small subunit ribosomal RNA", at positions 28 to 507 of the family's 1533-position model. The record is from RNAcentral.
GAUGAACGCUGGCGGCGUGCCUAAUACAUGCAAGUCGAGCGAACAGACGAGGCUCUUGCUCCUCUUCCGUUAGCGGCGGACGGGUGAUUAACACGUGUCUACCUUACCUUUAAGACUGGGAUAACUUCACGAACCCUAAUCUCAUACCGGUUCAUAUAUUGAACCUCAUGGUUCAUUAGUGCACGCCGUAUUUGCUGACACUUAUUGAUGUAUCCGCGCCGGAUUAGCUAGUUGGUAGGGUAACGGCUUACCAAGGCAACGAUGCGUAGCUGACCUGAGAGGAUGAUCAGCCACACUGGAACUGAGACACGGUCCAGACUCCUACGGGAGGCAGCAGUAGGGAAUCUUCCGCAAUGGGCGAAAGCUUGACGGAGCAACGCCGCGUGAGUGAUGAAGGUCUUCGGAUCGUAAAACACUGUUAGUAGGGAAGAACAAAAGUGUGAGAAACUAUGCACGUCUUGACGGUACCAAAACAGAAAGCAACGGCUAACUACGUG